Molecule: ribosomal RNA, 445 nt
Filed under: uncultured bacterium
Lineage: Bacteria
Description: partial 16S ribosomal RNA
Rfam family: Bacterial small subunit ribosomal RNA
Source: RNAcentral
GUGAGGAAUAUUGGUCAAUGGGCGGGAGCCUGAACCAGCCAAGUCGCGUGAAGGAAGAAGGAUCUAUGGUUCGUAAACUUCUUUUGCAGGGGAAUAAAGUGCAGGACGUGUCCUGUUUUGUAUGUACCCUGAGAAUAAGGAUCGGCUAACUCCGUGCCAGCAGCCGCGGUAAUACGGAGGAUCCGAGCGUUAUCCGGAUUUAUUGGGUUUAAAGGGUGCGUAGGUGGUUUGAUAAGUCAGCGGUGAAAGUUUGCAGCUUAACUGUAAAAAUGCCGUUGAAACUGUCGGACUUGAGUGUAAAUGAGGUAGGCGGAAUGCGUGGUGUAGCGGUGAAAUGCUUAGAUAUCACGCAGAACUCCGAUUGCGAAGGCAGCUUACUAAGCUACAACUGACACUGAAGCACGAAAGCGUGGGGAUCAAACAGGAUUAGAUACCCGGGUAGUCC